UUAGCAUAUCCAUAAGCGGAGGAAAAGAAACCCACCGGGAUUGCCUCAGUAACGGCGAGUGAAGCGGCAACGCUCAAAUUUGAAAUCUGGCCCCUUCGGGGUCCGAGUUGUAAUUUGUAGAGAGUGUUUCGGGUGAGACCGCGGUCUAAGUCCAUUGGAACAUGGCGUCAUAGAGGGUGAGAAUCCCGUAUGUGACCGUGGAUCGAGCCCAUGUGAAGCCUCUUCGACGAGUCGAGUUGUUUGGGAAUGCAGCUCAAAAUGGGUGGUAAAUUUCAUCUAAAGCUAAAUACUGGCUGGAGACCGAUAGCGCACAAGUAGAGUGAUCGAAAGAUGAAAAGCACUUUGGAAAGAGAGUCAAACAGUACGUGAAAUUGUUGAAAGGGAAGCGCUUGCAACCAGACCUGUCCGUAGGUGAUCAGCCGCUGUUCUCAGUGGUGCACUCGCUCUGCGAUCAGGCCAGCAUCGGUUCGGGCGGUCGGAUAAAGGCCUUGGGAAUGUAGCUUCCUUCGGGGAGUCUUAUAGCCCUCGGUGCAAUGCGGCCAGCCGGGACCGAGGACCGCGCUUCGGCUAGGAUGCUGGCGUAAUGGUUGUAAGCGACCCGUCUUGAAACACGGACCAAGGAGUCUAACAUCUAUGCGAGUGUUUGGGUGUUAAACCCAUGCGCGGAAUGAAAGUGAACGGAGGUGAGAACCCUUAAGGGCGCAUCAUCGACCGAUCCAGAUGUCUUCGGAUGGAUUUGAGUAUGAGCAUAGCUGUUGGGACCCGAA
RNAcentral lists this ribosomal RNA (767 nucleotides) under Hypogymnia pulverata. Its description in RNAcentral is "eukaryotic LSU rRNA". It matches the Rfam family "Eukaryotic large subunit ribosomal RNA", at positions 35 to 820 of the family's 3401-position model. The record is from RNAcentral. Lineage: Eukaryota; Fungi; Ascomycota; Lecanoromycetes; Lecanorales; Parmeliaceae.